UACGUAGGGGGCAAGCGUUGUCCGGAUUUAUUGGGCGUAAAGAGCGUGUAGGCGGCCAGGUAGGUCUGCUGUGAAAACUCGAGGCUCAACCUCGAGACGUCGGCGGAAACCAUCUGGCUAGAGUCCGGAAGAGGAGAGUGGAAUUCCUGGUGUAGCGGUGAAAUGCGCAGAUAUCAGGAAGAACACCAGUGGCGAAGGCGGCUCACUGGUCCGGUACUGACGCUGAGACGCGAAAGCGUGGGGAGCGAACAGG
RNAcentral lists this ribosomal RNA (253 nucleotides) under uncultured bacterium. Its description in RNAcentral is "partial 16S ribosomal RNA". It matches the Rfam family "Bacterial small subunit ribosomal RNA", at positions 524 to 776 of the family's 1533-position model. The record is from RNAcentral.